This 100-nucleotide microRNA precursor is filed under the name Marmota monax (woodchuck). The record is from RNAcentral. Lineage: Eukaryota; Metazoa; Chordata; Mammalia; Rodentia; Sciuridae.
AAUGUGAUUACUGGGUCAUAUGGGAAUACUAUGUUUAGCUUUGCAAGAAACUGCCAAAUGUUUUCAGAGUGAUUACACUAUUUACAUUCCCACCAGCCAU